Molecule: ribosomal RNA, 366 nt
Filed under: Helicobacter pylori
Lineage: Bacteria; Pseudomonadati; Campylobacterota; Epsilonproteobacteria; Campylobacterales; Helicobacteraceae
Description: bacterial LSU rRNA
Rfam family: Bacterial large subunit ribosomal RNA
Source: RNAcentral
CACAGCACUUUGCCAACUCGUAAGAGGAAGUAUAAGGUGUGACGCCUGCCCGGUGCUCGAAGGUUAAGAGGAUGCGUCAGUCGCAAGAUGAAGCGUUGAAUUGAAGCCCGAGUAAACGGCGGCCGUAACUAUAACGGUCCUAAGGUAGCGAAAUUCCUUGUCGGUUAAAUACCGACCUGCAUGAAUGGCGUAACGAGAUGGGAGCUGUCUCAACCAGAGAUUCAGUGAAAUUGUAGUGGAGGUGAAAAUUCCUCCUACCCGCGGCAAGACGGAAAGACCCCGUGGACCUUUACUACAACUUAGCACUGCUAAUGGGAAUAUCAUGCGCAGGAUAGGUGGGAGGCUUUGAAGUAAGGGCUUUGGCUC